Molecule: ribosomal RNA, 253 nt
Filed under: uncultured bacterium
Lineage: Bacteria
Description: partial 16S ribosomal RNA
Rfam family: Bacterial small subunit ribosomal RNA
Source: RNAcentral
UACGUAGGGGGCAAGCGUUGUCCGGAAUUAUUGGGCGUAAAGAGCUUGUAGGUGGUUUGUCGCGUCUGCUGUGAAAAUCCGAGGCUCAACCUCGGACUUGCAGUGGGUACGGGCAGACUAGAGUGUGGUAGGGGAGACUGGAAUUCCUGGUGUAGCGGUGGAAUGCGCAGAUAUCUGGAGGAACACCGGUGGCGAAGGCGGCAUCCUGGACCAAUAUUGACGCUGAGGAGCGAAAGCCAGGGGAGCAAACGGG